GAUGAAGAACGCAGCGAAAUGCGAUAAGUAAUGUGAAUUGCAGAAUUCAGUGAAUCAUCGAAUCUUUGAACGCUCAUUGCGCCCGUCAGUAUUCUGGCGGGCAUGCCUGUUCGAGCGUCAUUACGCCCCUCAAGUCCCCUGUGGACUUGGUGUUGGGGAUCGGCGAGGCUGGUUUUCCAGCACAGCCGUCCCUUAAAUUAAUUGGCGGUCUCGCCGUGGCCCUCCUCUGCGCAGUAGUAAAACACUCGCAACAGGAGCCCGGCGCGGUCCACUGCCGUAAAACCCCCCAACUUUUUAUAGUUGACCUCGAAUCAGGUAGGACUACCCGCUGAACUUAAGCAUAUCAAUAAGCGGAGGA
RNAcentral lists this unclassified non-coding RNA (358 nucleotides) under soil metagenome. Its description in RNAcentral is "partial contains 5.8S ribosomal RNA, internal transcribed spacer 2, and large subunit ribosomal RNA". The stretch from base 1 to 120 matches the Rfam family "5.8S ribosomal RNA", at positions 35 to 154 of the family's 154-position model. The record is from RNAcentral.